GCCCCUAUCGUUUAGUGGGUUAGGACAUCUCUUUUUCAAGGAGAAAGUGAGGAUUCAACUUCCUCUAGGGGUU
Molecule: transfer RNA, 73 nt
Filed under: Arachnitis uniflora
Lineage: Eukaryota; Viridiplantae; Streptophyta; Magnoliopsida; Liliales; Corsiaceae
Description: tRNA-Glu
Rfam family: tRNA
About the family: Transfer RNA (tRNA) molecules are approximately 80 nucleotides in length.
Source: RNAcentral